UAGGGAAUCUUCCACAAUGGGCGCAAGCCUGAUGGAGCAACACCGCGUGAGUGAAGCAGGGUUUCGGCUCGUAAAGCUCUGUUGUUAAAGAAGAACACGUAUGAGAGUAACUGUUCAUACGUUGACGGUAUUUAACCAGAAAGUCACGGCUAACUACGUGCCAC
RNAcentral lists this ribosomal RNA (164 nucleotides) under uncultured bacterium. RNAcentral describes it as "partial 16S rRNA". It matches the Rfam family "Bacterial small subunit ribosomal RNA", at positions 355 to 511 of the family's 1533-position model. The record is from RNAcentral.